AUCCCAUUACCAUUAGGACUCAUGAAACUUGCCGCAAAAAGAUAAACCAUCCAUUCCAACUAGACUAACAUUGGAGUAGAUAAAUAACAACAUAAUCCAAGGAUAACUGGGAUAAGCAAUGGCCUUUAACACUCUCAUUGUGAAGUUUGUUUUGAUGAUGACUCUUCUAAGCAAGCAACUUGCACUCCUCACCAGCCUAUCCCCUUCGGUGCCUAUGACGAAGUCAAGAAUGACUUUAACAAACCCUCUCAGCUUC
RNAcentral lists this long non-coding RNA (256 nucleotides) under Phoenix dactylifera (date palm). Its description in RNAcentral is "long non-coding RNA (PDAC_LNC002658)". Lineage: Eukaryota; Viridiplantae; Streptophyta; Magnoliopsida; Arecales; Arecaceae. The record is from RNAcentral.